Molecule: ribosomal RNA, 497 nt
Filed under: uncultured bacterium
Lineage: Bacteria
Description: partial 16S ribosomal RNA
Rfam family: Bacterial small subunit ribosomal RNA
Source: RNAcentral
GACGAACGCUGGCGGCGUGCCUAAUACAUGCAAGUUGAGCGCUGAAGGUUGGUACCUGUACCAACUGGAUGAGCAGCGAACGGGUGAGUAACGCGUGGGGAAUCUGCCUUUGAGCGGGGGACAACAUUUGGAAACGAAUGCUAAUACCGCAUAAAAACUUUAAACACAAGUUUUAAGUUUGAAAGAUGCAAUUGCAUCACUCAAAGAUGAUCCCGCGUUGUAUUAGCUAGUUAGUGAGGUAAAGGCUCACCAAGGCGAUGAUACAUAGCCGACCUGAGAGGGUGAUCGGCCACAUUGGGACUGAGACACGGCCCAAACUCCUACGGGAGGCAGCAGUAGGGAAUCUUCGGCAAUGGACGAAAGUCUGACCGAGCAACGCCGCGUGAGUGAAGAAGGUUUUCGGAUCGUAAAACUCUGUUGGUAGAGAAGAACGUUGGUGAGAGUGGAAAGCUCAUCAAGUGACGGUAACUACCCAGAAAGGGACGGCUAACUACGUG